CUUGACAUCCAGAGAACUUAGCAGAGAUGCUUUGGUGCCUUCGGGAACUCUGAGACAGGUGCUGCAUGGCUGUCGUCAGCUCGUGUUGUGAAAUGUUGGGUUAAGUCCGCAACGAGCGCAACCCUUAUCCUUUGUUGCCAGCGAUUCGGUCGGGAACUCAAAGGAGACUGCCGGUGAUAAACCGGAGGAAGGUGGGGAUGACGUCAAGUCAUCAUGGCCCUUACGAGUAGGGCUACACACGUGCUACAAUGGCGCAUACAAAGAGAAGCGACCUCGCGAGAGCAAGCGGACCUCACAAAGUGCGUCGUAGUCCGGAUCGGAGUCUGCAACUCGACUCCGUGAAGUCGGAAUCGCUAGUAAUCGUGGAUCAGAAUGCCACGGUGAAUACGUUCCCGGGCCUUGUACACACCGCCCGUCACACCAUGGGAGUGGGUUGCAAAAGAAGUAGGUAGCUUAACCUUCGGGAGGGCGCUUACCACUUUGUGAUUCAUGACUGGGGUGAAGUCGUAACAAGGUAGGCGUACGUGU
This 528-nucleotide ribosomal RNA is filed under the name uncultured bacterium. Its description in RNAcentral is "bacterial SSU rRNA". It matches the Rfam family "Bacterial small subunit ribosomal RNA", at positions 980 to 1509 of the family's 1533-position model. The record is from RNAcentral.